GGGGCUGACUGGCUUUGACAGCGUGCCGAGGUGAUUUGUAAGCAUGUAGUGCAUCGGUAAUUGGCACUUAAAUCUUAGUUAUCGAACUUUUUAGUUGGCGAAAAUAAUUACGCUCUCGCUGCGUAACCGAAGUAUAGUAGGUUAAUCGCUUUAUUGCUGCACAGGUGCGGCAACGAGACAUCAUCCGAGAAGCUCCCGACCCGUAGCGUCUCGACCCGGUGGUGUAACGGAAAUUCGGGUAUCGCUCUGCUCAGCCUUCGGAGCCGGGUUAAAUGAAAGGAGGAUAAGGAUAUGGGAAGGUAGUUUCGGCCCAACCCGAAUCUCGAAAAUCAAAGCGAAAAUAAACAUGUAGAAAGCAGGUUGUUUCCGCGUUUGGACGAGGGUUCAAUUCCCUCCAGCUCCACCG
Molecule: non-coding RNA, 406 nt
Organism: Porphyromonas macacae
Lineage: Bacteria; Pseudomonadati; Bacteroidota; Bacteroidia; Bacteroidales; Porphyromonadaceae
Rfam family: transfer-messenger RNA
About the family: Bacterial tmRNA, also known as 10Sa RNA or SsrA, is named for its dual tRNA and mRNA-like properties.
Source: Rfam